This 505-nucleotide ribosomal RNA is filed under the name uncultured bacterium. RNAcentral's name for it is "bacterial SSU rRNA". It matches the Rfam family "Bacterial small subunit ribosomal RNA", at positions 28 to 536 of the family's 1533-position model. The record is from RNAcentral.
GACGAACGCUGGCGGCGUGCCUAACACAUGCAAGUCGAGCGGGGUUGAAGCGAGGGGUAACUCGAGUUUCUACCUAGCGGCGGACGGGUGAGUAACGCGUGGGCAACCUGCCUCAAGGACUGGGAUAACAGCUCGAAAGGGCUGCUAAUACCGGAUAAGCCUAUGGCCUCGCAUGGGGCCAUGAGCAAAGGGGAAACCCGCCUUGAGAUGGGCCCGCGUCCCAUCAGCUAGUUGGUGAGGUGAAGGCUCACCAAGGCGACGACGGGUAGCCGGCCUGAGAGGGUGACCGGCCACACUGGGACUGAGACACGGCCCAGACUCCUACGGGGGGCAGCAGUGGGGAAUCUUGCACAAUGGGCGAAAGCCUGAUGCAGCGACGCCGCGUGAGCGAAGAAGGCCUUCGGGUUGUAAAGCUCUGUCUGGAGGGACGAAGGGAAGUGACGGUACCUCCGGAGGAAGCCACGGCUAACUACGUGCCAGCAGCCGCGGUAAGAGUCACGUCGCG